RNAcentral lists this ribosomal RNA (495 nucleotides) under uncultured bacterium. Its description in RNAcentral is "partial 16S ribosomal RNA". It matches the Rfam family "Bacterial small subunit ribosomal RNA", at positions 28 to 507 of the family's 1533-position model. The record is from RNAcentral.
GAUGAACGCUGGCGGCGUGCCUAAUACAUGCAAGUAGAACGCUGAAGGAGGAGCUUGCUCUUCUGGAUGAGUUGCGAACGGGUGAGUAACGCGUAGGUAACCUGCCUGGUAGCGGGGGAUAACUAUUGGAAACGAUAGCUAAUACCGCAUGACAACAGUUAUUGCAUGAUAACUGUUUAAAAGGGGCAACUGCUCCACUACCAGAUGGACCUGCGUUGUAUUAGCUAGUUGGUGAGGUAACGGCUCACCAAGGCGACGAUACAUAGCCGACCUGAGAGGGUGAUCGGCCACACUGGGACUGAGACACGGCCCAGACUCCUACGGGAGGCAGCAGUAGGGAAUCUUCGGCAAUGGACGGAAGUCUGACCGAGAAACGCCGCGUGAGUGAAGAAGGUUUUCGGAUCGUAAAGCUCUGUUGUAAGAAAAGAACGAGUGUGAGAGUGGAAAGUUCACACUGUGACGGUAUCUUACCAGAAAGAGACGGCUAACUACGUG